CAACCNGCCGAUAACUCCGGAAUAGCCUUUCGAAAGAAAGAUUAAUACCGGAUAGUAUACGAAUAUCGCANGAUAUUUUUAUUAAAGAAUUUCGGUUAUCGAUGGGGAUGCGUUCCAUUAGUUUGUUGGCGGGGUAACGGCCCACCAAGACAACGAUGGAUAGGGGUUCUGAGAGGAAGGUCCCCCACAUUGGAACUGAGACACGGUCCAAACUCCUACGGGAGGCAGCAGUGAGGAAUAUUGGUCAANNNGCGAGAGCCUGAACCAGCCAAGUAGCGUGAAGGAUGAANNNNCUAUGGGUCGUAAACUUCUUUUAUAUGGGAAUAAAGUUUUCCACGUGUGGAAUUUUGUAUGUACCGUAUGAAUAAGGAUCGGCUAACUCCGUGCCAGCAGCCGCGGUAAUACGGAGGAUCCGAGCGUUAUCCGGAUUUAUUGGGUUUAAAGGGAGCGUAGGUGGAUUGUUAAGUCGGUUGUGAAAGUUUGCGGCUCAACCGUAAAAUUGCAGUUGAAACUGGCAGUCUUGAGUACAGUAGAGGUGGGCGGAAUUCGUGGUGUAGCGGUGAAAUGCUUAGAUAUCACGAAGAACUCCGAUUG
Molecule: ribosomal RNA, 594 nt
Filed under: uncultured Bacteroidota bacterium
Lineage: Bacteria; Pseudomonadati; Bacteroidota
Description: bacterial SSU rRNA
Rfam family: Bacterial small subunit ribosomal RNA
Source: RNAcentral